AGCAAGGGCACUCUGUGUUACAAGAAAAACUUAGUAUUGUAAAACAAUUUGUAACCUUGCCAGAAAAAAUAUCACAAAUUUUGGAUUUGUCUCCUAUUUCUCAAGGAAUCAAACAUAAAUAUAGUGAAACAUUUU
This is a small nucleolar RNA of Eupeodes corollae, 135 nucleotides long. RefSeq annotates it as small nucleolar RNA psi18S-841/snoR66. The transcript has a single exon. The record is from RefSeq and is a predicted model, not a curated record. Lineage: Eukaryota; Metazoa; Arthropoda; Insecta; Diptera; Syrphidae.